This 529-nucleotide long non-coding RNA is filed under the name Panax ginseng (ginseng). Its description in RNAcentral is "long non-coding RNA (PGIN_LNC015625)". Lineage: Eukaryota; Viridiplantae; Streptophyta; Magnoliopsida; Apiales; Araliaceae. The record is from RNAcentral.
GAAAGGACAACUUUGCCCAUCAUUUUAAGUUAAUAAAUCAUGUGUCAUGAGGCUAAAUUUGUAAUCCUAUAGGAUGAGUGCCCCAUUAUUAGUGUGUAGGGGUCCGGAAUAAUCAGUUCUUUUGUCUUGUAAUGGAAGAGGUAGGCAAUUUUCAGGGUUGCCCUUAUGCUCUACUAUAUUUGCGUUUUUUUACCCAUAUAUUUUGUUUCAUUAUCCAAUUCAUCAAUCUUAUGAAUGAACCUUUGUGUUUAUACCAUUGUAAUUUUAUGAUCUUUUUUAAUUGAAGGGUACAAAUGAAUAAAACAAGAAGGAUAUCCGGGGUAUUCUAGUCUAGUAUUUAUUUUUGGUUUUUAUAUAUUUUUGCAGAUAAAAUGAAAUUGUUAGGUCUAUAACAAAAUUCAAAUUUAAAUUAAUAGUUGGAGGGAGCUCCAAUGACCAAAUGGGUCAUUAAUUGAGAAAAAUACCAAAAUAAAUGAGAGGGUAUGGAAUUUAUUUACCAUUCAUACAAUAUUAAAGUAUUUAAUUUCAC